Long non-coding RNA from Argiope bruennichi, 402 nucleotides. RefSeq lists it as uncharacterized. The transcript has 3 exons. The record is from RefSeq and is a predicted model, not a curated record. NCBI's taxonomy places the organism in Eukaryota, Metazoa, Arthropoda, Arachnida, Araneae, Araneidae.
GUCGCUAGAUGUGUCUUAUAUGCUUAGGCAUCUGUCAAAAUUCAUUGUGCGUGUAGUUUUUAAAUUUAAGGAACUUUUUUCGUGUGCGAUAUUUCACUAAUACUUUAUAAGUGUUCAUAUAUUUUUUUUAGGUUGUUCUGAACUUGAAUUUGAAAGUCACUUCAUUUUUCAUCAUCUAUGUUCCGUACUUUAACAUCUGUUUGAGACUGUUGGAUUAGUAAUGUUACAGUGACAAAGCUCCAAGGGAUAAGAAGGAUCUGGUGAAAAUUUAAUGAGUCCUGUACGGAGGAAAGCAGAUUGAUCUCUGGGUACGAGCAAUGAUGAAGUUGUUUCCACGGCAUAGCCACUGGAUGGGCAAGGAAAGCCUUCUCCGCUGGAUGAGGAGAACGACCCGGAGAUGAG